RNAcentral lists this long non-coding RNA (44045 nucleotides) under Gossypium barbadense (sea-island cotton). RNAcentral describes it as "long non-coding RNA (GBAR_LNC018572)". Lineage: Eukaryota; Viridiplantae; Streptophyta; Magnoliopsida; Malvales; Malvaceae. The record is from RNAcentral.
CUAUUAUAACUAGAAUCAAAUCAUCCAAAAUUACCGAUAGUACCAAUGGAUAGUGUGAUAUAUCUCCGACAAGCUUCCAACCCAAUUGAGCUUCCGAUAAUCAUUUCAAUGCAUCUAAUAAUUAUACAUAUUACCAAUAAUAAUUCAAUUCCAAUAAUAAAACACAUAUUUAUAUAAUAUUCAUCACCAAAUAACAUUCACUUUAAUUAAAAUUAUACAGAAUAUAGUUCAUACGAACUUACCAGGCUAAAUUGCAGAAAUACCAAAAUUUAGGGAAAUUUUGGUAAUUUUCUAUUUUCCUCAAAUUUCCACCCAAUCUUGAUCUAAAUUAAUAUUUCAUUCAAUUUAUUAAUUUAAAUAAUAAAACGAUUCAUUUCAUGCAAUUUGGUCACAUUUUGACAUUUUUAAAAAAGUACACUAAAAAUUAUAUUUUUAUUCAAUUUAGUCCCUGAACCUAAAACAUGUAAAUUAGCUAUUUUUAAAAUAAAACCAUAUUAUCUGAAUAUUAAAAUCUAUUUUUCCUUCUCCUCCACUCCAUUCCACAUACUUGAUAUAUACAUAAUACCACUAUUUACUUGUUUACUCAUAACAAGUUGUUCACUUGAGUCAUAGUCACUAAACUAAUCAUAUCUUAAGCUACAAAACUCCGAAUUUAGAUCCGUAAUUUUUUUCUGAAACUAUACUCACAUAUAUUUUUACCAUAAAAUUUUUAGAAUUUUUGGUUUAUCCAAUAAGUACAUUUUAUUCUUUAAUAUUUCUCAUAUUUCACUGUUUAACAGUUCCAAUCCCUCUUCACUAAAAAUUAAUUAUCUCUUUGUACAGAAUUUGGAUGAUGUCUUCAUUUGUUUCUCUUGAAAAUAUACUCAUUAAGGAUUUUAAACAUAUAAAUUAUAACCCAUAAUUUUUUUUUACAAUUUUUAAUGAUUUUUCCAAUUCAGAACAGGGGAACCUGAAUUCAUUCUGACCUUGUCUCACAAAAUUUAUUUUAUCUCAUGAUUUACAAUUCCAUUACUUACACCAUUUCUUCUAUGAGAAACUAGACUCAAUAAGAUUUAAUUUAAUAUUUUAUUAAUACUCUAAUUCGAUUAUCACGAUUUAUGGUGAUUUUUAAAAUUUAAUCUACUGUUGUUGUUUAAAACUGUUUUAGUGCAAAAUGUUGAUCACUAAAUUUAUAACACCCUUAUUCCCUUUCUCUAUAAUAUUUUCCAUCACUUUCUUUUAUUUUCCUUCACUAAUAUAUAAAAAAACAUAAGACCUUAUAUAAGGAAACUCUACUAUAACAUCAUUUCCGUGCUUUUUCAAUAAUAUCACACUUAAAAAUAUGUUGAAAUCUUGAUGUUCUUACCUUGUCCUAUUGGUUUCAACCUUUAACUUGAUUUUCUCUCUCCUCCAGCUUCUAUUACUUGAAUCUAACUUGAUAUUCUAGCUCCCCAGAGUCUUCUUGUUAUCUUUCUCUCUUGAUGGCUAUAGAAAUUCUUUUGAUUUCUAGGUGAAAAUGGUAAAUUUUUUGUGGAAAGACCAAAUUGUAAAGAAAGCAAAACUUUCUUCUCUUCUCUUCUCUUCUAACGUGAAAUGCAUGGGAAGUAUAAUGAUUUCUCUUCAUCUUUCCUCCCGUUUAUAUUAAUCAUUUAAUAAUAAAAUAAUACUAAAAACCUUAAUAAAAUAUUAAUUAAAUAACAUUUAUCUAAUUAAUUAAUUAAAAUUAUCACCAACAUCAUCAUUACCUUCUAAAAUUAUCUCUUUAAUUGCCAUAGUUUUCCCUUUAUAAUCUUUUGAAAUUCUAUCCUUGAGUCAUCACUUAAUUUGGUAAAAUUAUAAUUUAGUCCCUUAAAAUUUUUCACAUUUUCAAUUUGGUCCUAAUUCAUCCAUUUACCUUAGUUUCUAGAUUAUUCCACCCUUAAAAUAUUUAAACUAUUGGUCCUUCAACUUUUUUGUAUUUACACUUUAACCCCUUAAAUUUUAAGUAUUUACUCUUGGGCAACAAAACUUUUCUCACUUUUACGAUUUAAUCCUUUCUUGAAUUAAUAUGUCAUAAUAUAUUUCCCAAUGUUGACAUAACUCAAAAUUACCCUUUUUAUCACUUUAUUUCCUUAUUUUACCAUAGCAGGGAUAUUAUCUUACUUUCUUACUAUAGUAUUUUUGGGGUAUUACAGUUAGACAAAUUAAACCAUGUGCUAAAUAGCCAACUCUUCUUUAACAUGAUCUUUCUCUUUUGCAUAAUACAUUAGGACAUCCCUAGUAGCUGUUUGUCUACUUAUAUUAUUAAAAUUAGAACUAACAAAUCCUGGUUCUUCAACUAUCCUAAAUGAAUGCUUACUACACACAAGAAAAGUUGAAACAGGUCGAUGACACUCAUUAGCAUCAAACUUGUAGGUUUUUAUAGAUGAAUCACCUCCUAAGGAUGGUUGAGUGGCUAUGGUGUAUUGAGUGAUGUCCUUAUUAAUUUUUUUCAAACAAUAGUUUAGAUGACGUCUUAAAUGGGAGGUUCUGGUAGAAGAUUUAGCAGAAAAGAUACUCUUACAGUGAUUACAUUGUGCCUUCAACUCGUUUUUGUUCUCACAUUCAAGCUUUGUUAUUUCACCCCACACCUUUGAAGUAGUAGGCUUUUGACGUUUGGAAACAUUUUCAUAUUCAUUAAACCCAUCAUCCACAUUUAUUGGAGUAUUCGACCUAGCCAUUGUCAUAAAAACUGAAGUCCUGAAAUCGUAAAAACUCAAUUAUUAUAUAAAAAACAAAAAAAAAGUUAAAACUAAACCUAUUUGUCCAAAUAGGAGAGCAGUAUUUCAAUUUAAUUAAAAGAAACUUAUUUGACAACUACUUGCAGGUAUAUUCACAAGCAGGUUACAUCGACUAUAAUUAAAAAUAUAAUAAAUUUUGGUAAAAAUUUUAGAAAAUAUAAUAAGUUUUUUUAGUGCUUAAAUUAUCUUUUAAUUUUAAAUGAGUUGCAAAUUUAACAUUUCAACUCUAAAGUUUAUUAAUUCUUUUACUUAAAAUUUAUUUAUUUAUUUAUUUAUUUAAAAAAAACUUCCUCCUAUAUUCAAGUGGUGAUAACAGGUGAGAAACAUAGAGGUAAGUUCAUGAAUAAGUUCCAUUUUCUCCUAUAUUUCCUUUUGUUUUAGAGGAAAACUACAAUUUCUUAAUUAGUAGUUUUUAUUCAUUUUUUACUAUUUGGAAUCAAGAUUUUCAAAUCCAAUUAUAAUUCAUACUAUUGUUAGCUAGGAAAUCAUCCACAAUUACUUUCAUUUUUCUUCCUGUUAAUCUUAUUACCAAUUACCAAAUUCUUUCUUCAACCUCAUCAGAUCAUCAAGAAAAAUGGUUGAACUUGUUGCCUCUCUUACUUCCAACACCAAAAAAAAAAAUUUGCUGUCAAGAUAAAAUUUACAAUAAAAAUAAAACAAAUCUUUAUUUUAGAUUUCAAUGUCAUAAGUCAUAACUAAAUGUUUUAUUUUUCUCUUCUUUCAUUUUAUUUACAUUGAAUUUAUAAAACAAUAAUAAAUCUUUUGGUGUUUCACACAUUAAAUGUGAUCAAUUUCAAUUAACGUUCUACUAUAUUGGAUAAUAAAUUAAUUUACAAUAUUUUUUGGAAUAAAGAACAAAUAUAUAGAGAGAGAGAGAAAUACCCUUAGUGGAAUCAAUUAAUUUUCACAAACAUGUCUGAGGAGCAUGCAAAUAUAUUCAACAAGUCUAAAAUUUAGUCAACAGUACCUAUCAAUAAUUGAUUGCUGCUUCAAUAGCUGUAAAAUCCUGAUUUUGGGCCUAGUCGGAACAGUGGUUUCGGGACCACAAAUUUGAUAAGGAAAAAAAUUUAAUUUAUUAUAUUUUUAUGGUCUACGAUUUCACAAAAUGACUUUGUGAAAAUUUCGUUCGAAAAUUUCGACGUUUGGACACUCAAUUUAGUCAAAAGGACUAAAUUGUAAAAAGUGUAAAAGUUGAGUUCUACAUGUUAGAGGUGUCCAAUUGUUAUGAAAUUUUAAAUUGGAGGUCCUUAUAUGGUAAUUAGACCACUGGUUAAGUUGGUAGACAAAAAUGGACAUGGUUAGGCAUGUUUCUAAAGUUUUUCAUUAAGGGCAUUUUGGUCAUUUAGUUAUUAAAAUGAAUUAAAAAAUUAAAAGACAAUUUUUCUCCAUCUUCAACCCCAUGGCCGAAUUUCACAAGGGGAAACCAUGGCUAGGGUUUUCCAAGCUUCCAGGCUCGAUUAUCAAGAAGAACAAAAUUCAGAGUUAGAUUGGGGAAAGAAAAAGGUUGAGGACUAAAGUGUUAGAUUUGAUCAUAUUUUGUACCGAAGUAAGUUUACAGUAAAUAAAUGCAAUAUUUUGAUAAUUAUUAUUAAUGCUAUUAUUUUUCAGCAAUUAUGUAUUUCUUUCAUGAAAAUAUCUAAUGUUAACUCAAGUAUGAGAUGACAGGGAAUCAGUGUUAAAAGGCCUCGUUGAAACAUGAGGAAUGUAUUGGAUACAAAUGUCAUAACAUUUGGGUAAAGAGAUCUCAUGUAAGCCCAUGUUUGGGACAUGGCAUUGGCAUCAUUGAGAUUAUGAGAGGUCCCAUGUAAGACCAUGUCUGGGACAUGGCGUUGGCACCGAGAUGAGAGGUCCCAUGUAAGACCAUGUCUCGGACAUGGCGUUGGCACCAAGAUGAGAGGUCCCCCGUAAGACCAUUUCUGGGACAUGGCAUGGGCACCUAUAUAAGAACUCUCAUGUAAGACCAUAUCUAGGAUAUGGCAUUGGCAGUACAAGAAACAUCCCAUGUAAGGCUAUGUCUGGGACAUAGCUUUGGCAUGUUAUAUUCAGACAGGAGACCGAGUAUCCUUAGUAUUCCAAGUGAUUCAACGGGCUAAUAAAUAGACGAUGUUACAUGAAAGUUCAGGUAAAAGCCUAAUAGACAAGUUCAGGUGAGUUAAUAAGAUUAAGAGUAUCUCAGUUAUCAGUUGAGAAAAGAAAUUUCAGCAACGAAUGAGUAAGUUAAGCAAGCAAGAAAGUAAAUGAGUAAGAGAGUAAGUAAAAAAGAAAGUAAAGAUCUUAAUGCUUAAUAAAAAUUUAUGAAUAUAAUUGUUUAUGAUAAAUGUUGUUAUUUAUUUACUUGUAAACUUACUAAGUUUUAUGCUUAUUUCUUUUAUUUAUUUUUCUUUCAUAUAGUAUUAUCAAGCAUAGUUGGGAUCUUGAAGACGUCGGAGAGCGUUCACACUAUCAACCACCACAACUCGGUAUUUUAAGAUGAUAAAUGUUUUGAGCUAUGGCGUGUAUAGGGACUUGGUCAUUUCGAUUGUAUAUUCUUAAGAUAUGGCCAAAAGAUGAUAUGUAAAUAUUUGAUGAUGAAUAGUUAUUAAAAUGGCUAAGUAUGAAGGUGUUUGUUGUUAUAAAUGUCUAGGUGAUAAAUUAUGCAUAGAAAUCAUGAAAAAGUAAAAAUUUGUACUGAAUCAGUUUUGAGACAACAGUAGUGACGUAAUUUUGAAAAAUCACCAAGGAUAGUAUAAAAUAAAUUAGGGGGUGGAUGAGAUAUAUAAUUAAAUCUUAUUGAUUCUAUUUUCAUAGAAAAAUAACGGUGUAGAUAAAGGAAUUAUGUAUUCUGAGAUAUUUGUAUUUUAGUUAGACAAGGUCAAAGUGGUUUUCAAAAUCCCCUUUUCUGACUUUGGAAAAUCAUUAAAAAUUGUAAAAAAAUAUUUAUGUGUUAUAAUUUAUAUUUCUAGAUUCCUUAUUGAGUUUAUUUUCUGUAGAAACAAGUGAGAACACCAUAUGAAGUUUGUACAAUGAGAUAAUUGAAUUUUAGUGAUGAGAGGUCAGGACAGUCGAUCAGUGAAAUAGGGGAGACUUUAACUAAUAAACUGUACUAAUUGGCUAAACCAAAAAUUCUAAACAAUUUAUGGUAAAAAUAUAUAUGAGUCUAGUUUUAGGUAAAAUUUACGGAUCUAAAUUUUGAGUUUCGUAGCUCGAGUUAUAGUUGAUUAAGUGACUUCUGCGAAAGUGGACAACCUUAUUAUGAACAGUGAAAUAACUUUUAAAAGUAUAUUUUUAUGCCCCGGACUUUUAAGUUAAGUCAAGUAAUGCAUCAUGCUCGACUCCAGAAAUGGUCUCGAGUAAGGGGUGUUACAUUUUAUUGGUAUCAGAGCAGGUUUAGUCGGUUCUCAGAAUAUUCAGUAUGAAUAAGAGUCUAGCUAUACAUGUCAUACUUAUAUAUUUUGAUAGUAUGACGACUUUUGACGAUUGUGAAAUGUUUUCUUUUAUAGUUAUGGAUCCGAAUGAGCUAGUACAAAUGAAUUAGAGAGUAAUGUGUCCGCUCCCGCAUAAGGGACGGUGCCACCAGAUGUUAAUGUUAGUGAAAGGCCCGUUACAGUUAGUCCGGGAAGAGGGGCUCGAGAAGCCUUCUUCCAUGCUAUGAAUGAAUCGUUUGCCGAGUUCGUUCGUACGAAUUCGGCUGUUAGAUCUCCACCCCCUCAUGAUUUUCAGAUUCCCCAUAUAGCUCCCCCAGUUACAUGUACAGGUACAGUUAUAAGAGAAAGGCCACCAGUUGAUAAGAUCAAAAAACAAGGGGCUGAAGAAUUUCGGGCUACUAAAGAUGAUGAUGCCGAGAAAGCAGAAUUUUGGCUCGAGAAUACUAUCAGAGUUUUUGAUGAAUUAUCUUGUACACCUGAAGAAUGCAUGAAGUGUGUUGUCUCACUUCUCAGAGAUUCAGCCUAUCAUUGGUGGAAGACUCUUGUAUCAGUUGUACUGAGUGAUAGAGUUACUUGGGAUUUCUUUCAGGAGGAGUUCCGUAAAAAGCAUAUCAGUCAGAGGUUUAUUGACCAGAAAAGAAAAGAGUUCAUUGAGUUAAAACAAGGUAAGAUGACUGUGACUGAGUAUGAAUGUGAAUUUGUCAGACUCAGCAAGUAUGCUCAAGAGUGUGUAUCUACAGAAGCUGUUAUGUGCAAAAGAUUUAAGGAUGGACUUAAUGAUGAUAUCCGAUUGUCAGUUGGUGUUCUAGAGAUAAAAGAGUUAGUUGUUCUAGUUGAAAGAGCAUGUAAAGCAGAGGAGUUGUUAAAAAAAGUGAGGUGAAGUUAAGAUUGAGGUUCCAGACACGAAGAAAAGGUAGAUGAGCAGAUCAUUUCAGUCAACAUCCAAGAGGCCUAGAGAGUUUUCUACUAGAAUGAAUUUUUCAGUCAGGUAUCCUAGCCGGAACAGAGGUAGAGGAUUUAUGGGUUCAAGAGCUCAGACUACUACAGUUGCAAGUGUGGGUAGUACUCGACCAUCUAGACCAAAAUUUGCUCAAUGUGGUAGACGUCAUCUCGGUGAGUGACGAGCAAAUGAAAAUGCUUGUUUCAGAUAUGGUGUACUAGAUCAUUUUAUUCGGGAUUGUCCUGAAAUAGUAAAAAGAGAAGCAAUAUUGAGUGCAAGAUUGGGAAAUGCUCCUACUAGAGGCAGAUCACAGAGGAACCCGGGAGUUGGAGCAAGUAACAGGGGUACGUCUAGAGACUCAGCAGCUAGAUCAAAUGUUAGAGCACCCGCAAGAACAUAUAUUAUUCGUGCUCGGGAAGAGGUAUCCUCCCUUGAUGUGAUUACGGGUACAUUUUCUCUCUAUGAUACUAAUGUUAUUGCUUUAAUUGAUCUGGGUUCGACUCAUUCCUAUGUUUGUAUGAAAUUGAUACCUAGUAUGAACAUGCCUAUAGAAUCCACUGAAUUUGUAAUUAAAGUAUCAAAUCCAUUAGGCCAGUAUGUGUUAGUAGAUGAAGUAUGUAAGAGUUGCCCUUUGAUGAUUAGAGGUAACAGUUUUUCGAUCGAUCUCAUGCUAUUGUCGUUUGAUGAGUUUGAUGUGAUUCUUGGUAUGGAUUGGUUGACUGCCCAUGAUGUGAUAGUGAAUUGCGGAAAGAAAUACAUUGAGUUGAAAUGUGAAAAUGGUGAUAUUAUUCGGAUUGAUUCAGAUGAGACAGAUGGUUCUCUCUCUAUGAUUUUUGUUAUGUCUGCUUAGAAAUGUUUGAGAAAAUGGUGUGAAGCUUAUCUUGCUUUUGUAUUGAACACUAAAGAUCUAGAGUUGAAAAUUGAAUCAGUUCCAGUGGUACGUGAGUAUUUAGAUGUGUUCCCGGAAGAAUUGCCAGGUUUGCCUCCUGUUAGAGAAGUUGAAUUUGGUAUUGAGUUGGUUCCAGGUACAACUCCCAUUUCUAUUGCUCCUUAUAGAAUGGCCUCGUUGGAAUUUAAAGAAUUGAAAGCUCAGUUGCAGGAAUUAACUGAUAAAGGUUUUGUAAGGCCUAGUUAUUCUCCGUGGGGUGCACCAGUGCUUUUUGUGAAAAAGAAAGACGAUUCAAUGAGGUUGUGUAUAGAUUAUCGGAAGCUUAACAAAGUAACAAUAAAGAAUAAAUAUCCACUGCCUAGAAUUGAUAAUUGAUUGACCAAUUGAAAGGAGUCACUAUGUUCUCCAAGAUAGAUUUGAGAUCCGGUUACUAUCAGUUGCAAGUUAAAGAUUUAGAUGUUCCGAAGACUGCUUUCCGGACUAGGUAUGGUCACUAUGAGUUUCUUGUGAUGCCAUUUGGUUUGACUAAUGCUCCUGCCAUAUUCAUGGAUUUAGUGAACCGAAUCUUUCGACUUUACUUGGAUAAGUUUGUAGUUGUGUUUAUUGAUGAUAUUCUGAUUUAUUCUCCUAAUGAGACUAAACAUGCCGAAUAUUUAAGAACAGUUUUACAGAUUCUAAAAGAUAAUCAGUUGUAUGCCAAGUUUAGUAAAAGUGAGUUCUGGCUUCGAGAAGUCAGAUUCCUUGGGCACAUUAUGUCAGGUGAUGGUAUUAAAGUUGAUCCGAGUAAAAUUUCAGCAAUUGUUGAGUGGAAACCACCCAAAAAUGUGUCAGAUGUUAGAAUUUUUCUUGGAUUAGCUGGUUAUGACAGAUAGUUUGUAAAGGGUUAAAGAUUUAGAUGUUCCGAAGACUGCUUUCCGGACUAGGUAUGGUCACUAUGAGUUUCUUGUGAUGCCAUUUGGUUUGACUAAUGCUCCUUCCAUAUUUAUGGAUUUAGUGAAUCGAAUCUUUCGACUUUACUUGGAUAAGUUUGUAGUUGUGUUUAUUGAUGAUAUUCUGAUUUAUUCUCCUGAUGAGACUAAACAUCCCGAACAUUUAAGAACAGUUUUACAGAUUCUAAGAGAUAAUCAGUUGUAUGGCAAGUUUAGCAAAAGUGAGUUCUGGCUUCGAGAAGUCAGAUUCUUUGGACACAUUGUGUCAGGUGAUGGUAUUAAAGUUGAUCCGAGUAAAAUUUCAGCAAUUGUUGAGUGGAAACCACCCAGAAAUGUGUCAGAGGUUAGAAGUUUUAUUGGAUUAGCUGGUUAUGACAGACAGUUUGUAAAGGGAUUUUCCAUGAUAGCGACCCCGUUGACAAGAUUGUUGCAGAAAGAUGUCAAGUUUGAAUGGACUAAGAAGUGUCGGUAGAGUUUUGACUAGUUAAAGGCAUUGUUGACAGAAGCUCUUGUUUUGGUACAGCCAGAACCGGGUAAAGAAUUUUUUAUUUACAGUGAUGCAUCCUUGAAUGAAUUAGGUUGUGUACUUAUGCAGGAAGGUAAAGUAAUAGCAUACGCUUCCAGACAGUUAAAGUCACAUGAGAAAAACUACCCGACGCCGACACAUGAUUUAGAACUAGCUACCAUUGUAUUUGUGUUGAAAAUCUGGAGAUAUUACUUGUACGGUGAGAAGUGCCAAAUAUUCAUUUGACAAGUUGGCCGAGUUGUAUAUUUCAGAGAUAGUCAGAUUGCAUAGAGUACCGUUAUUGAUUAUCUCAGAUAGAGAUCCGAGAUUUACUUCACGAUUUUGGAAUAAAUUGCAUGAAGCUUUGGGCACAAAGUUGAGUUUUAGUACAGCUUUUCAUCCUCAGACCGAUGGCCAGUCAGAGAGAGUUAUUCAGGUACUUGAGGAUAUGCUCAGAUGUUGUGUUUUAGAAUUUCAAGGUAGUUGGGAGAAAUAUUUGCCGUUGGUAGAGUUUGCCUAUAAUAAUAGUUAUCAGUCGAGUUUGAAGAUGGCACCUUAUGAAGCUUUGUAUAGACGUAAGUGUCGUACACCUUUGUAUUGGACAGAGCUUAAGGAAAAUCAGAUUUACGGGGUUGAUCUAGUCAAAGAAAUAGAAGAGAAAGUAAAAGUCAUUAGAGAUUGCUUGAAAGCAGCUUUAGAUAGACAGAAAUCCUAUGCAGAUUUGAAAAGAAAAGAGAUUGAAUUCCAAGUUGGUGAUAGGGUAUUUUUGAAAGAGUUGGGUCUUUAACAUAUCGGUUAGCUUUGCCGACUGAGUUAGAGAAGAUUCAUGAUGUAUUCCAUGUGUCUAUGUUAUGUUGUUAUCGUUCAGAUCCGCCACAUGUGAUUUCUCAGACAGUGGUUGAGAUUCAACUGAACAUUACUUACGAUGAAGAACCGGUAAAGAUAUUAGCUUGAGAGACUAAACAACUAAGGAACAACAGUAUUGCACUUCUAAAAGUAUUAAGGAAUAGGCAUGGGAUAGACGAGGCUACAUGCGAGCCCGAAGAGGCUAUGUGAAAAUAGUACCCAAAUCUCUUCACAUGUAAGAUUUCCGAGGAAGAAAAUCCCUAAAGGGGGAGAAAUGUAACAUCCUGAUUUUGGACCUAGUCGGAAAAGUGGUUUUGAGACCACAAAUUCGACGAGAAAAAAAAAAUUAUUUUAUUAUAUUUUUAUGGUAUAGGAUUUCACAAAAUGAUUUCGUGAAAAUUUUGUCUGAAAAUUUCGACGUUUGGGCACUCAAUUUAGUCAAAAGGACUAAAUUGUAAAAAGUGCAAAAGUUGAGUUCUACAUAUUAGAGGUGUCUAAUUGUUAUGAAUUUUUAAAUUGGAGGUCCUUAUAUGGUAAUUAGACCAUUGGUUAAGUUGGUAGACAAAAAUGGACAUGGUUAGGCAUGUUUCCAAAGUUUUUCAUUAAGGGUAUUUUGGUCAUUUAGUUAUUAAAAUGAAUUAAAAACAAAAUUAAAAUCCAAUUUUUGUCCAUCUUCAACCCCAUGGCCGAAUUUCACAAGGGGAAACCAUGGCUAGGGUUUUUCAAGAUUCCAAGCUCGAUUAUCAAGAAGAACAAAAUUCAGAGUUAGACUGGGGAAAGAAAAAAGUUGAGGACUAAAGUGCUAGAUUUGAUCAUAUUUUGUACCGAGGUAAUUUUACGGUAAAUAAAUGCAAUAUUUUGAUAAUUAUUAUUAAUGUUGUUAUUUUCAACAAUUAUGUAUUUAUUUCAUGAAAAUAUAUAAUGUUAACUCAAGUAUGAUAUGACAAAGAAUCAGUGUUAAAAGGCCCCUUUGAAACAUGAGGAAUGUAUUGGAAACAAAUGUCAUGACAUUUGGGUAAAGAGAUCCCAUGUAAGACCAUGUCUGGGACAUGGCAUUGGCAUCAUUGAAAUUAUGAGAGGUCCCAUGAAAGACCAUGUUUGGGACAUGGUGUUGGCACCGAGAUGAGAGGUCCUAUGUAAGACCAUGUCUGGGACAUGGCGUUAGCACCAAGAUGAGAGGUCCCCCGUAAGACCAAGUCUGGGACAUGCCAUAGGCACCUAUAUGAGAACUCUCAUGUAAGACCAUAUCUGGGAUAUGGCAUUAGCAGUACAAGAAACAUCCCAUGUAAGACUAUGUCUGGUACAUAGCUUUGGCAUGUUAUAUUCAGACAGGAGACCAAGUAUCCUUAGUAUUCCAAGUGAUUCAACGGGCUAAUAAAUAGACGAUGUUACAUGAAAGUUCAGGUAAAAGUCUAAUACACAAGUUUAGGUAAGUUAAUAAGAGUAAGAAUAUCUCAGUUAUCAGUUGAGAAAAGAAAUUUCAGCAACGAAGGAGUAAGUUAAGCAAACAAGAAAGUAAACGAGUAAGAGAGUAAGUUAAGAAGAAAGUAAAGAUCUUAAUGCUUAAUAAAAAUUUAUGAAUAUAAUUGUUUAUGAUAAAUGUUGUUAUUUAUUUACUUGUAAACUUACUAAGCUUUAUGCUUAUUUCUUUUAUUUCUUUUUCUUUCAUAUAGUAUUAUCAAGCAUAGUCGGGAUCUUGAAGACGUCAGAGAGCGUUCACACUAUCAACCACCACAACUCGGUAUUUUAAGAUGAUAAAUGUUUUGAGCUAUGGCGUGUAUAGGGAUUUGGGCAUUUCGAUUGUAUAUUCUUAAGAUAUGACCAAAAUAUGAUAUGUAAAUAUUUGAUGAUGAAUAGUUAUUAAAAUGGCUAAGUAUGAAGGUGUUUGUUGUUAUAAAUGUCUAGGUGAUAAAUUAUGCAUAGAAAUCAUGAAAAAGUAAAAAUUGGUACUGAAUCAGUUUUGAGACAACAGUAGUGACGUAAUUUUGAAAAAUCACCAAGGAUAGUAUAAAAUGAAUUAGGGGGUGGAUGAGAUAUAUAAUUAAAUAUUAUUGAGUCUAUUUUCAUAUAAAAAUAACGUUGAAGACAAAGGAAUUAUGUAUUCUGGGAUAUUUGUAUUUUAGUUAGACAAGGUCAAAGUGAUUUUCAAAAUCCCCUUUUCUGACUUUGGAAAAUCAUUAAAAAUUGUAAAAAAAAAUAUUUAUGAGUUAUAAUUUAUAUUUCUAGAUUCCUUAUUGAGUCUAUUUUCUGUAGAAACAUGUGAGAACACCAUAUGAAGUAUGUACAAUAAGAUAAUUGAAUUUUAGUGAUGAGAGGGUAGGACAGUCAAUCAGUGAAACACGGGAGACUUUAACUAAUAAACUGUACUAAUUGGAUGAACCAAAAAUUCUAAAAAAUUUAUGGUAAAAAUAUAUAUGAGUCUAGUUUCUGGGAAAAUUUACAGAUCUAAAUUUCAAGUUUUGUAGCUCGAUUUAUAAUUGAUUUAGUGACUGUUGUGCAGGUGGACAGCCUUAUUAUGAUCAGUGAAAUAACUUUUAAAAGUAAAUUUUUAUGCCUCGAACUUUUAAGUUAAGUCAAGUAAUGCCUCAUGCUUGACUCUGGAAAUGGUCUCGGUUAAGGGGUGUUACAAUAGUUAUUGGAACUUAAAGCAACGGGUAGUAGCUAUUGCAGAAAAUUACGAGUAAUGGAACUAAGGUUGUAGACUGCAGAGAAACCUAAAGCAACAGUGAUGACCGACGACUGGCGAGGAAAUGAAAAUCAGUAGAAGGUAGAGAAGCAGCAAUAGCGACAGUGGCAAAGAAACAAGUGAAAAGCUGCAGAACGAAGAGAAGCAACAAUGGUGGCAAUGGCAAUGAAGCAAGAAGCAAGGAAAAAUUGAGGGAUUAAGGAUUAAGGGGAAAUAGGGAUUUGAAAGAGAAAUGGAAAUGGGGAUACCGGGAUUGGAAUUUGGAAAGGGAAGUGGGGAACAAGGGUAAAAAUCUGUGGUUAAUAUAAUCAAGUUGGGCACGGGUUGAAAAAUCCUUGCCCGAAGCCCUGGCCAUUUUUAAAACGGGCCUCAUUCCUAAGCCUAAGCCCAUUUUUGGGCUAUAUUUUUUACCCAAACCCUCCCAUAUUUCAGGCGGGCCUUCAGGUCGAAUCGAGUGGCCCGGCCCAUGAACAGGUCUACUUUAGAGUGUUUUUCUAAAUUACACCUGAAAACGUGUCUACGUGGAAGCGCUUUAAAAAAAUUGGCCUAUUCCCGUAAUUAUUCCAAAAAAUGACAUAAUCUGGUAAAUUUUAAAAAAUAGCAUUUUUUGGUAAUUUAGUCUCAAUCUUCUCUACUUUGUCAAAUACCCCUUUUCAAAAGUUUACUUUGAAAAUAUAAUUUUUUUUAUAAAAAUGAUCCAAAUUUUUUUAUAAAUGACCCAUUUUAAAAAUUAUGUACGUAAAUGACCCAUUUUGAACACUAAACAUAGGUAACACCAUUGCCAUUGGCCUCACCACCUCUAGUUUUAAAAAAAAUUAUUUUUGGGUGUCGUUGUUGUAUUGGCAGCACCAGACUAAAGUAUAAUCAUACAAAACGUUCAAUGACCUGAUAAAGCAAGUAUCUUUUUAGAUUGGACGGAAAAAGGGGUGACAUCAUUCCUCCUACGGGAACAAUUAAAUGCUUUUAAACUUUUGAUCUAUUUGCAUGUUAGGUCUACCCCCUUUUGAAAUUAAAUUUAAAUAGCCCUUAAAAUAUAAAAAUAAAAAAAUAAACCAUUUUCAAUUUUUAUUAUUUUUGGAAAAGCAAUAAACUUAAAAAACAAUAUAAAAUUCUUAUUUAAAUUACCCAACUAUAUCCCUCAAAAAUUUUCCUCAAGUUUUAAAUAAGAAUUUUUUACUUGAGGAAAAUUCUUAAGGGAUAUAUUUGGGUAAUUUAAAUAAGAAUUUUUUAUAGUUUUUUAAGUUUAUUGUUUUUUAAAAAAUAAUACAUUUUGAAAAGUGUUAUAAAAUAAAGAGAGAUGGAAAGAAUAAAGAACAAAGAAAAUAUGAAAGCAAUAGAGAAUGUACUUUAUUGAUCAAAAGGGAUGAUUUACAAUACUUUAUUAGAGUCUCUAUUUAUAGGCAUAAGAAGUAUAAAAGAAAUAGAGAUCUAAUUUUAAUAACUAUUAGAGUUUAAAGUACAUCAAAACUUUAUCUUGAUCAUGAUGGACAUCCACUUAAUAAGAUAUUCAUAACACUCUCCCUUGGAUGUCCAUUGGUAAAUAAUGUGCCUCAUUAAAACCUUAUUAGGAAAAACCCAGUGGGAUAAAAAACCUAACGAAGGAAAAAGAGUACACAAUCUUCUAUUACAAGCUGCCUCGUUAAAAACCUUUACCAGGAAAACCCAAUGGGACAAAACCUUGGUUAAAGAAAAGAGUACAACUUGUUUUUAAACUCCCCCUAAUGACAACAUUACAUUACAUCUUUGAGUCGACGCAUUCCAAUCUUGUGUAGUAGUCUUUCAAAUGUUGAAGUUGGCAAUGUCUUAGUAAAAAAAUCUGCUAAAUUAUCACUAGAAUGAAUAUGUUGAACAUUUAUAUCACCUCUUUUCUCAAGAUCAUGGGUGAAUAAUAAUUUUGAUGAAAUAUGUUUCUUUCUAUCACCUUUAUUGUAACCACCCUUCAAUUGAGCUAUACAUGCUGCAUCAUCUUCAUAUAAGAUAGUUGGCAUCUUUUCCUAUAAAGGAAAAUUAUAUAUCUUCUGGAUAUAUUAGGUCAAUAACCUUAGCCAAACACACUCUCGACUUGCCUCAUGCAUUGCAAUUAUUUCUGCAUGACUUGAAAAUGCGGCAAUAAUGUUUGUUUUGUUGAACGCCAUGAUAUGGCAGUAACCCCACAUGUAAAUAAAUAUCCUAUUUGAGAUCGACCUUUAUGUGGAUUUGAUAAGUAUCCAGCAUCAGCAUAGCCGACUAAUAGGGAUUUUGAAUCAUUUGAAUAAAAUAACCCCAUAUCAAUGGUCCCUCUAAGAUAUCUAAAUACAUGUUUAAUUCCAAUGUCUACGUGUUGGAAAAGAACUAAAUCUUGCUAACAAGUUUACAGCGAAAGCUAUAUCAAGUCUUGUGUUAUUUGCAAGAUACAUCAAUGCCCCUAUGGCAAUUAGAUAUGGUACUUCAAGACCAAGAAACUCUUCAUCAUUCUCGCAAGGACGAAAUUGAUAUUUAUUCACAUCUAACGAUCGUACAACCAUCAGAGUACUUAAUGGGUGUGGUUUAUCCAUGUAAAAUUUCUUUAAUAUCUUUUUCAUAUAAGUUGAUUAAUGAACAUGAAUUUCAUCUUUUAAAUGUUCGAUUUGUAAGCCAAUAUAAAACUUUGUUUUUCAAAUAUCUUUUAUCUCAAAUUCUUUCUUUAAACAAUUUAUUGUAUUUUGAAACUCUUCAGGAGUUCCAAUAAUAUUUAGAUCAUCAACAAAAAGGGCAAUUGUCACAAAAUUUGAUCCAAACCUUUUUAUAAAGACACAUGGAAAAAUUAGAUCAUUUUUGUAACCUUCUUUUAACAAGUAUUCACUAAGACGAGUGUACCACAUACCUCCAGAUUGUUUUAAUCCAUAUAAACUUUUUUUUAAUCUGAUUGAGCAAUUUUCCCGAGAAACUAUAUAUCCUUCUGGGAUUUUAAAUCUUUUAGGGAUUUUCAUAUAAAUUUCACUAUCAAGUGUACCAUAUAAAUAGGUUGUAACAACAUCCAUUAGAUGCUUGUCAAGUUUUUCACGUACUACCAAACUAAUAAGAUAUCUAAAUGUGAUUGCAUCCACCACAGGAGAAUAUGUCUCUUCAUAAUCAAUGUCGGACCUUUGCGAAAAUCCUUAUGCUACAAGUCGUGCUUUAUAUCUUAUGACUUCAUGUUUUUCAUUUCAUUUUUUUGCACAAAUACCCAUUUAUAUCCUAUCGGCUUUACACCUUUAGGUGUUUGGACUACAGGUCCAAAAACUUCACGUUUAGAAAGUGAAUUCAAUUCUGCUUGAAUUGCAUCUUUCCAUUUUGGCCAAUCUUUUCUAUUUUUACAUUCCUCAAUAGAUUUAGGCUCAAGAUCCUCAUUUUCAUUUAUUAUUUCAAUAGUAACAUUAUAAGAAAAAUUGUUGUCGACAACUACAUUUUUUUUCGAUUUCAUCUUUUUCUCGUAUUGACAUAACUUAUCGAGAUCUCUUUAUUUUUAUCAUUUUCAAUUUCACUUUUAGGUACCUAAAUAUCUUCUUAAGUUUAUAAUUAGUUAUGUCAUGGGUCUCUUCAGGAACCCCCGCCUCUACUAUAUGACCAUCUUAAAUGUUUGCUCCUUUUCUUUUACGAGGAUUUUUAUCUUUGGAACUGAACGGUCUUCCAUGCUUCAGUCAUGGAUUACUUUCUUUUGCACUAGCAAUUUUCCCUAUUAAGACAUCAAUUUGGAACAUUUUCAGCUAGUAUGAGAGAUUUAAUGAAUUUGGAAUUGAUUUGUAAAAUUAAUUAUCUAUUAAACUUCUGGUUCACAUUACUUUGUACAAGGAUCUUAGACAUUGACAAUUCAUUUCAAGUACUUUAUUAAUCCAGCUUUUUAUCCUCUCCCCCUAAUAUUGGGAAAAUUGACAACUCAUGUCACAACUAAAUAUCGUAUUAAUAGCUCAAAAAUAUUAUAAGGAGACUCAUAUAAAUAUACAUUUUCAAUCUCUUAUUAUGACCCAUCUUUGUGCAUUGUGAUGGAGCAGUUGGAACAUAUAUCGCACAUCCAAAAAUUGUAAGAUGGGAAAUAUUUGACUCUUGACCAAAAAUCAAUUGUAAUGGGAGUAUUUAUAAGUUAUUAUCUUGAUGCGUACAACAUGUAAAUCUCAUGCUGAAAUAGGAAGUUUUGUUCUCAUAAGUAAUGGUUUAGCUAUUAGUUGGAGGCAUUUGAUAAACGAUUCAGCAAAAUCAUUUUGUGUGUGAACAUGAGUUAUAGGAUGUUCAACUUUUAUACUAAUUGACAUGCAAUAAUCAUUGAAAGCUUGUGAAACUCACCAACAUUAGCAAGAUGAAUUGUUUUAAUUACAUAAUCUGAAAUUAAUCAUUUAAACAAGCAAUCUCGCAAAUGACAGGUUGCGAGUUGAUAAUGCAUGUGAUUAUUUUGUAGAUGCAUCUACCAAAAUCAUAUAAUAUCAAAAUCAUCCACAGGGUGGAUGAAUAAGCCCUUAUUCAUUUCAGAAAUGUAAGACAUUAAAUCUCAACUUUAGCUAGUGAGUUUCUAAGAAUCAAUUUUCAUUGAAAACAAACAACAAAUGAGAUUUUUUUUUAAAAACUAAAGAAUCUGUUCUUUAAUAAAUGUCCAUAUAAAUUCUCAAUUGAUUUUCACAUCAUAUAUGAUCCAGGAUGGUCUAACUGGUCAUGCCAAAUAGUAAAUGUAUUUGUAUUAGUAAACUUCUAGUUUACUUCAACAUGUUUUUCAAUUGCACUAAUAAUAUAAACUUUGACAAUUGAUAAUUUUAUUGACAUUCUUUUUUAUUUUGUAUCCAUAUAUAAAUACUAUUGUGGCAUUUACUACUGCAAAUGUCUAAAUCAAUAUGAAGUCUAUAAUGUCACUAAGUCAAUAAGUAAAUAUAAUUUUCAAACAUAUGUAAUAUUUGCUCCAGGGAAUAUGUCAAAAUCUUCAAAUAUAAGACAUUUGGUCUAGUGGUAUGAUUCUCGCUUAGAACGCGAGAGCUCUCGAGUUCGAUUCAAAAUAUAAAUAACUCAAUCCCCGUUUGAUUCAUAUGAAAUAUAAUAUUUUCCUCAUUCACAAUCUCAAUAUAAGAUCCAUUAUGAAUAUCUUUUAAAACUAAUGCAUUAACCACCACAAACUUUGUGCUUUUUAGAUAUUGAUAUGUUAACUCUUGUAGAGCUUUCAACUAAUUCUGUACUAUCAGAUAUUAGAAUAUAUUUGUUUAUUUCAGUACCAAAUAAGAUAAAUAUUUUAUAUCUUUAAUGAUAAAAUUCAUUAUUACAUUCUCAUAUCCUUCCUUAAAGAAUAUUAACAGAGACAAAAUAUUGGGCAUACACCACAUAUGUGACCAAUAAUCUUUCAUAUCACAUUGAUAACAUAAGUUAUCUUUACCCUUUGAAAAGUUAUCUUGAGAACACUCAUUGUUCUCUUAUUUAUUACUAUGUUCUCACUUUUAGUGUUCCAUGAGUAUAUCUUUUAUUUUCUUUAUAUUUACAUUCACUUCGGGGAAUGCAACAAAUCUAGUAGGACAGACUUAUAAACAUCCUAAUAGAUUCUUUAUUUCAUAAUCACCAUCGCAAACAUGCGUGAGAUUUCAAAUUAAAAUUUAUCUAUUCAUGUUGUCAUGAUUAGUCUCCAAUUAUAAUAAACAUGAUAUAAUAAAUAAAACAUAGUAAAAAAUACUUGAAGAUUUUUAACAUCAUCGUCAUCACCUUGACUAUUAUCACGAACACUAUUACAAGAAGUAAAACAACUUUAUUUUUGUAAUAACAUUUUAUAAUCUAAUAGUAAAAAACAUUUAAUAAAUAAUCAAAAUUUUUAAGUACGAUGCUUGAAAAUUAUCCGAUACACAUUGUACCAAAUUUCAAUACCACAUAUAUGUUAUAAAAUCUUAUCUUGCUCUAAUAAAAUAUUUAUAUGUUCAAUUUAAAAGAUAUCAUACAAUCAUUCAGCAUUAGCAAGUUAAUAAGAAUAAAUAGAUCCUAUCAAAUUUCCCUUUAAUCAAUAACGGUAGGUUAAUAACACUUUCCACCAUAAUUUUAAUAAAAUUUCAAGAAUAUUUAAUAAUAAGAAUUUAAUAAUCAAAACAUCUAAAUAUUAUGCAUAAUAUAACUUAAUUAAAUAUUAUGCAUAAUAUAACUUAAUUAAAAAAACUUCAAAAAGAAUGAUUUACCGAAAAAAUAAUAGAGAAAACAUCCCAUAUUAAUAGCAAACAUAUCUAAUCAACAAUUAUAUCUUUUACAUAAAAAAAUUAACUUAGAAAAGAAAAAAUCAAAUACCAUCAGAAUGUGAAAUUUAUGUCAAAUAAAAAUUAAUAGUAGUCAUACCGUAAUUGAAAAAGAAAAUAUGGUCGAAAUAUAAAAGUUUCUUACCAAAUCUAUAAUUUACCAAUGCUUGUUUAAUAAAUCAAAGAUCGGGAAUAAGAACCAUAUUCCAUUCUGAGAUUGAAUCUUUCAACAUCCCGAAGAUAAAAUUGUAAGGGUAAAAGUUUAAGGUGAAAAAGAAUUUGAUCUGUGGGAUGACUUCAAACAAUUUUGAAAAAAAAUAUAGAAUUAUCGUGCUGAUAACGUGUUAUAAAAUAAAGAGAGAUGGAGGAAAUAAAGAACAAAGAAAAUAUGACAGCAAUAGAGAAUGUACUUUAUUGAUCAAAAGGGAUGAUUUACAAUGCUUCAUUAGAGUCUCUAUUUAUAGGUAUAAGAAGUAUAAAAGAAGUAGAGAUCUAAUUCUAAUAAUUAUUAGAAUUUAAAGUACAUUAAAAUUUUAUUUUGAUCAUAAUGAACAUCCAUUAAAUAAGAUAUUCAUAACAAAAAAAGUUUACUUUUGUUAUUUUUAUAUUUUUAAAGAUUAUUUAAAUUUAAUUUCAAAAAAGGUCAGACCUAACAUACAAAUAGACCAAAAGUUUAAAAGUAUUUAAUUGGUCCUGCCGAGGAAUGACAUCACCCUUUUGUUCAUCCAAUUUGAAAGGAUAAUUGCUUUAUCAUGUCCCUAAAUGUUUUAUAUAAUUAGACUUCAAUCUGGUGUUGCUAAUAAUAACGAUGACACCCAAAAAAAUUAUUUUUUAAAAUUAGAGGAGGUGACGCCAAUGAAAAUGGCGUCACCGAUGUUUACCGUUCAAAACGAGUCAUUUAUUUUAUAUAAUUUUUAAAAUGGGUAUUUUCGUAAAUAAUCAAACGCUUUUGGUCAUUUUUAUAAAUAAAAAGAAAGCCAAAAAUAUCCGACAGAACACAAGUGUGGUUUUGUCAUUUUCUGCACGUCAGCAUCAAAAACCGUGUUCCAUCGUUAGUUUCAUCCUUCAAAACCGACGUCGUCCACUCAGCCGCCUCCACCCCACUUCCACUCUUCUUCUUUAUUACUCAUAUAAAUCAAUCAAUCAAUUCUCUAAAAUUAUUUCCCAUCCCCCGAAGGAAAAAAGGAACAACAAUGUGUAGGUCUACGGAUUAUUACGACUUCCGGUGCGCCGAUCAAAACCUUUUAAAGAUCAAAGCUUUCUUCAUCCGAAUAUCGGGUUUCGAUUCCUUUUCAAAUUCUCUCACUCUACUCUACCCACCAAGGAUCAACGAAUCGGCGCUUCAAAUUUCAGGGGCUGCUAUCCGCUCUGAUUCCUCCUCCUUCUUAGUUCUCCAUCGGAUGGUUAAUGUCAAGACAAGGAGCGGAGAGGCAAUUUACGGGAGCAGGGAGCGAGUUCAGGCCGGUGAUGGGGUCUGCUUCGAUGUUUACUCAGGAGAGGACAAGGUGUUGAAAGGGAUUUUUAGAAGAGAGGAGCAAAAGUGGAAGAUGGAGUGCAAGUGCGCGCUGGAGACAAGGGAUGGGAAAACGGUCGGCGCUGAGCGGGCGGUGGCGGAUGUUUGGGUGGCGGUGGAGGGAGACAAGGCGAUGGGAGAGAGGGUGAGGGUGAUUGCGAGGAAGAAUAGGAGGGUGGGUUUUGAUCAGCUGGAGGAUAUUCCAGAGGAGAGUGAAGUGAGCGGUGAAUGUAGUUGCAGUUGUGUGGAAUCAGACGGUGGCGAUAUGGAAGGAAGGUGCGACGGAGAUUGUGAAGGGAUACAAGAUAUGUGUACGGCGGCGGAGGGAGUGAGCUGGGCCUUUGAUGUGGGCAUUUGGGUGAUGUGCUUGGGUGUUGGAUACUUGUUCUCCAGAGCCUCCGCCAAAAGUUUGAGACGGAUGAGAAUACUAUGACACUGUAAAUUGUAAACCAGAGGCACAAAACAGGCUCUCUGCCAAACUUUGGCCGUUCAUUAAUCUAAAUUUUGGAAUUUAGAAUGAUUAAUUUCUUCUCUCGGGUUCAAUUUUACUUUUUCUCUAUUCUUAUUCCGAAUUUAAAAAUGCAAAUGUAUGAAGCUCAGGUCAAUUAUAUUUCUUAUAUAGUUACUACUUGAAUUUAUUAUUUACCAUAAAAAUAUAUGAACUCGAAAUUUUUUAUUUUUCUAAAAUUAGAGGUGUUGACAUAUGAUAAUUUUAAUGAGGGUUAAUUGAUUAUUUAAGUUUAUAUUUUGAUAAUUAAACUUUAAAAAAUAUUAUAUCAUCAGUAAUGUUGUUAAUUUAUUACGUGAUUAUUGAAUAAUUCAUUUAACAAUGUAACGAAAAUCUAAUGUGAUAUUAAAAUGCAAUUGUUAUACACAUGAAAUCCACGCAAUUUUCACUUAUUUUCUUUUUGAUUUUUUGACUUCUUUUAAUUAUGUUAAACUAAUAUAAUUAUUUUAUUAACUAAAACCUAUUAUGUUACCGUAAUUAGUAAAAUACAUUGGAGGGUUUUUUAUUAAAAUAAUACAAAAAAAUUAAAAAAAAUAUCAAAAUAGUAUACUUUUUUUAUUUACUAAAAUGGUACAAAAAAACAGUUAAAUUUUUUUUUUUUAAAAAGCAGAAAUAUGGGGCAAAAAGGAAAAUAAUGAUUUGAAUGUUUCAAAAUUUAAUUUUAAACCGAAAAAAUCAAAAUUUAGGGGCAAAAAGGGAUCUUUUUCGAAAAAAAGUGCAGCAAACCGCCUUCGGCAAUUUGUCAGCGCGUAGAUCUCGAAAAGUUAUUCGAAAAAAAAAUCGUCUCAAUCGGACAACCGAGCCAAAAGUUAUGGCCUUUCAAAGUUUUUCAAGCUAAAAAUGAGAAACUGUUCAUCCACGUCAGCAAAUCACGUCCUAGAGGGCGCAAUUUGUGUCCACGUAAGCAAAUCGCGCUAACGUGGACGCGAUUUCCUGGCGCGUACCCUGACAUCGCGCUGACGUGGACGCGAUUUCGCGGAAAAUGGACCAUUCCGGUAAAUAAUUAAAUAAUUGGCCAAUUUCGGUAAUUUUUGAAAAAAAAAGGGCUUUUUUUGGUCAUUUUCCCUAAAAAAAGUAAACUAUUUUAGUAUUUUUAAUUUUUUUGUAUUAUUUUAAUAAAAAAACCCUACAUUGGAGCCUAACACAUUCUCCAGAGAAAAAUGAUUUUCAUUUCACUUCAAAGCGGAAAAAGUAAUUAAAAAAAUACUUUUCAUGUUCUCAGAGAUGGAGAGAAAAUCAAUGAGGUUUGAUUGAGAAAUCUGUUGAGGGGAGGAAUCUCAUUGUUUGAAAAUGGAUAAGUAGAUGCUUCAUUCAAGAAAUGAUUCAACUAUGACAUACGAUAUGUAACAGCCCGAUUUUGGGUCAAGUCGGAAUAGUGGUUUCGGGACCAGAAAUUGGAUGAGGAAAAAUGAAAUGACCUGUAUUUUUAAGGGUGUCGGAACGGUGAUUCGAGAUCACUAAAUCCGACAAAUGAGUAGAAAAUAUUAUUAAUUUAGUGAGUGUAAGUUAAAUGUGAAGUUAAGAAAAUUUUUGAAAUAGUGAAUAGUGCACUAGAAAUAAAUAUUAAAAUAAUUAGAAAAAACGAGAUAUUGAGACCUCAGAGAUUUUAAACCGAGCCAUAAAUAUUUUUAUAAAUAUUUAUGGAAUGUUAAAAAGUUAGUAUUAAAGUUUCGUUAAGAAAUUUUAAAGUUUCGAUAAUUAAUUGAAUAAAAAGAACUAAAUUGUAACAAAUGCAAAAUUAUGAGAAAUGAUUAAAUAGCUUAAAUGAUAAAAAGGAAGAGGACUUAAAAGACAAAUAGACCCAAUGUCUAUUUGGGCUGGACGGCAAAGGCAUGAAAUUAGUAAGAAAGUAACGAGAAUUAAGGGCUAAAUUGGAAUAUUGCAAAAUUACUUAAUAAAGCUAGGAUCCAAGUGGAAUUAUCUAGAUUUCUCUUUAUUUUUCUGCAUUCUCAUCAGCAAAAACACCAUAGAAGUGUUUCCUUAAGCUGGUUUUUCAUAUUUUUACUGCAAGUAAGUUCAAUUCUUGAUUAUUUCUUAAAAUUUUUGUGUUUUUGUGACUUUUACAACUAGGCCCACUCGUUGAAUUCAUUAGUUUUUGAUUCUAUGAAAGAAGUUGAAAGUUGCUAUGAAUAUGUGCUGCAAGUAUAUGAUGAUUUAGCAUGAAAUUAGAGCUUUAAAUUGUUUAUAUGCUGAUUUUAUUGAAAGAAUUAAACAGAAAGUGAAUGUUUGGGACCUAAUAGUAAAACAAGUUAGGGUUUUAUGAGGAAAUUCUGAAUUUCAAUAAUUAUGAAUAACUUAUAAUGUCUAGGUAAAGUACUAAUUUAGAAAGAUUAGCUUAAUUGAGGGGUUAAUUAAGCAAGGACUGAAUUGUAUGAACUGUGAAAUUUGGGGCAAAAUGGAAAUCAACAUUUUGCACUAAAACAGUUUUGGACAGCAGCAAUAGUUUAAAUUUGAAAAAUCACCAAAAAUUGUGGGAAUCGAAUUAUAGAAUGAAUAAAAUAUGAAAUUAAAUCUUAUUGAGCCUAGUUUCUCAUAGAAGAAACGAUGUAAGUAAUGGAAUUGUAAAUUAUGAGAUAUAAUAAAUUUUGUGAGACAAGGUCAGAAUGAUUUCGGGUUCCCCUGUUCUUACUUUUGAAAAUCAUAAAAAAUUUAAGAAAAAUAAUUAGGGGCUUAAAUUUAUAUAUUUAAAACCCUGAAUGAGUCUAUUUUUAAGAGAAACAAAUGGAAACAUCAUCCAAAUCCCUUACGAAGAGAUAAUUAAUUUUUAGUGAAGAAAGGUCGGAACUGUCUAGCAGUGAAAUAGGGGAGACUUUAAAGAAUAAACUGUACUUAUUGGCUAAGCCAAAAAUUCUGAAAAUUUUAUGGUAAGAAGAUAUAUGAGUCUAGUUUCAGAUAAAAUUAACGGAUCUUAAUUUUGAGUUUUGUAACUCAAGAUAUAAAUAAUUUAGUGACUCUGACUCGGAUUGACAGAUUUGAAUUUACUUAUAAGUAAAUAGUGAAAAUAUAGUUAAUGUUAUUUAAGCGUGUUAUAUACAUUAAGGAUGUAGAAUGGAGAGGAGGAGGAGGAAAAUUGGAAAACAUAAGAAUGACUUGUGUAUAAAUCGGUCAUAUAUUCGAUCAUAAUCGAUAAACGUUGAGUUAAAUGGUAAAUACGUAUUAGUAUUGAACUUAAUGAUAUUGAAUUGUAUGAGAAGUAAAUGAAAAUUUCUAUUGCUAGUGAUAUGAUUUGAAUUAAAAGAAUUAUUGUGAUAUUGAAAUGUAUAUUGGAUUGAGAAAUUAAUUUGAAUUGUUAACAUGAGAAAUUAUGAAUUGAAUGAAAUGGAAAUGAAGCAUUGAAUUGUUAAGACUUGUGAAUUGCAUGAAUAUAAAUCGGGUUUCGUAGGCCCUAUUUAUUAUGAAUAUAAUAUUUAGAGGAUAUAUUGUGAAGAAUUAUAAAAGCAUGUUAAAAAUUUGAAAGUUUUAAUUUAGAUGAAAUUUUAUAAUACGGUUAAAUACGUUUACAAGUGUAUUUGUUCUGGUAAUGCCUCGCAUCCUAUUCCGGCGACGGAUACGGGUAAGGGGUGUUACACGAUAACAAUGAAAUACUAUGUUACGAGCAGAAGAUUUUGGGCAGAAAAAGUAGGGUAGCAGGAAGAAGAAGAAAUAGAGGAAAAAAUCAUAAUAGAAGAGAAAAGACGAGUGUAUUCAUUUCAUAACUGCCUUCCCCUACCCUUGAUUGUUGCCUUUAGGGUGGGUAACAGCUUUUCAGACAAACGACGACUGUUAAUACAGCUGUAACAAAACGUGUCAUUUUACAUAAAAGACAGAACAUCCUUAAACGUUGUCGUUUAAGCCUAACGGACCUCCCUCCCUCCCCUUCUACACUGCUGGAUAUCUAUAAGGUCUUAUUUUGACUACCUACUCUCAUCAAUUAAUGGGAUUUUGUGGUCUUGUAGCCUUACCGGGGCAGCCCUUAGGUGCUUGAAACACAUCAUCAAAGUCUUCCAAAAGUUUCACCAUGUCUGGGUUCAUUUGAGCAGGAGCAAGGGUCUAAUCUGUUUGAACACUGGUUGCUAGUAACAUUGGACAAGGUCCUUGGCCCAUAAAGUGCAAACAUUUUGACAAUUGUCCCCCAUAAAUAAGUUGAAAAGCACCAGGAAUAAUCACUUGGAGAGUAUGGUUCUGACCCUAAUAUUCAAAUUGCAUGGCCAAUGAAGAGAAGUUCCACAUGAUAGAACCUAGGGAUAGCAUCCACUAGAUACCCAAGACAAGAUCACAACCUUUGACCAGGAGGAUCAUAAGGUCAGUAGUGAAUUCAUACCCCUGUGCCUUCCAUAGAACUGCUCGACAUAAUCCUUGAGUGGUCAGUCUCACUCCAUUAGCCACCAUUACAUGAAGCUAGCUAGGAUGUUCUACUGGUAAAUCUAACCUCUUAACCAACUUGGAAUCUAGGAAAUUGUGUGUGCUUCCAGAGUUCACCAACAUGAUAACAUUAGAAUAACCAAUCUUAGCUGAAAACCUCAUAGUGUUAUGUCCCUGUGAUCCUUGGAGGGCGUGUAAGAACCAGAUAGGGGUAGUGGAUUCUGGUUCUUACUCCAACACUUUCAAAUAUUCAGGGCAAUCUUGAAAUUCUUUAAUCACAGGACUUUUGCUUCCCCCUUCAUGGUCCUAAUAAGGCUCCACUAUCAGCUGAUACAACUGGGAUUUGGUACAGUUAUGGCCUGGAGUGUAUUUGGAGGCACACUAGAAGCAGAGUCCCUUCUUCCUUCUCUCAUCUAUCUUAGAUUGGGAAAGAGAUUUGGACUGAAACUUCUGUCUUAAGUUGCUAGUUGGAGGACCACUAGUUCCCCCCAAAUUACUGUGAUAUUGUUGUAUCUUUGAAACAGGAAGUAGGGGUCUAAGAUGACUUAUCCCCCCUCUUAUACUCACACUCUUUUUUGGAAAUUCAGUCACCAUGUAUUCGACCUGUUGAGCUAAUAAUUGGAAACCAUCCACCAUUGUUUGAGGUUUGAGCAGUCUUAAAUACUGCCUUAUCUCAGGUUUAAGGUUACAAGUAAACAUAGCAAGUGCAUAAUCUUCAGUCAAACGUAGCUGAUUAAGUAGACUUACAAAACGGUCAUGGAACUGGUCCACUGAGCCUUGCUACUUGAGGUAGAUAAGUCCUGACAUGGAUCUAAAAAGGAGUCAAAACCAUUACGGGCCUUCAACCCUCGAGCAUAAAUCUCCCAGGUCAGUUAUUGUAACCCCCUUUGCCUUUGCACAAAGAAAUGGUAUCAGUCUAAGGCUUUUCCCUCUAAAUGUAACAUGACCAUCCUAACUUUGGCUUGAUCUUCGAUAUUUUCAGCUUCAAAGAACUGUUCUAGCUUGAACCACGACCCCUGAAAAUCAUUCCCAUCAAAUUUUGGACAUUCAAACUGAAGUGUUUUGUUGGUAAAGUCCAGGAGACCAACUCGAGAAGGUGUAUUCGCCAGAUCUGAGGCAAGAGACAGUGCGAGGCAGGGAUUUAAAUUACGGUCGUGGUUGCGGUCGCGAUUUCGGUCGCGUCGCGUUUGUCGCGGUCGUGGACAUAACGGACGCUAUUGCGGUCACUGCGGGUAUCGCGAUCGUGAAUUUUUUUAAAAUUCGCACAACUUAUUAUAAAACAUAGUAAUUAUAAUUAUAAUUAUAAAAAGUCAUUUUUAAUGAUUUUUAGAGUUUUGAAUAUUUGGACUUUGAUUGCUUUUUGCUGUUUAUUUAGACUUCUUUUUCCGUUUUUUUUAAUAACAUCAGAUUGGGCUUUUAUUAAUAGAAUAAAAUUACAAAAACUGCACACUUAUAAUCCUAAGAAAACGGCCCAAAGUAGAUGGCCAAAGGUAAAAAAAUGUAGAUAUUUUUAAAGUAACUUCUCGAAUCAACAUUUAUUGCACUGAUUCCUUGUCCAAUCAGAAAUUGCUGAAAUCUGCCCUCUCUUCUUCCCAUCAUUUCAUUUUCAGUUUGACGAUUUCCUUUUUCAAAACUUUUCCAUUCGAACCGUUCCAUUUUCUUAUUGUUUUGAAGCUUUCUUCCUUCCGUUCUUCCUCUCCUGGUGCUUUCUAGUCUGGUUCACACAGCCAAUUGUAUCUUCUUUGUUCUUCAGCGUACUCAGGCCCUCAGGGACCUCCAUUUCCAGGUAUACCUCCUCUUUUUUGUUCUUUGUUCUUUUUCCCGUUAUCUUCUUUGUUCUUUGUUCUUUUUCCUUUUUUUGAUUGAACUGUGUUUCAGUGUUUCUGUUGAUUUUUGUUUAGAGGAGAUGAUUUUUUUUAAUUUGUUGUUAACGGAAAAUAAUGGGAGUAGCGGCCCAUUAUUGCCACAAUUGGCCGUUACCCGUUAAAUUGCGGCUGCGAUCCACCGCUAUCGGUGUGACUCUACUUCACACCGUUAUUUUCAGCAAUUGUGGUUUCAGACGGUGCCGCUACCACUAUAUAACGACCGCUAUUUCGGUAACAGACUGCUAUUUAAAUCCCUGGUGCGAGGGGUUCUUUGGGAGGGAACCUAGGUGGGGUGCCCCCCAGAAUACCUUUACACUUGUCUUGAGCUCCCCCAGCAACACAGGUAGAAGCCUGUUGGCCAAAGUAUUGCUCAAAAAGGGAACGGAGUUCAGUUCGAAUCUCUCCCUUUAAGUUUUCAUGAAAGUCCUUUAGUCGAGUGUCAAUCUUAAUAUCAAUCUGACUAACCUCCAACAGCAUCUGGGCAAGCUCGUGUUGUAGCAAGCCCAUUUAUUUCUGUAACCUGGUGGUGACCCCAUCAUUGGCCAUGAGAACCGACUGCAGCUUUGAUACCUUUGUCACGACCAGAAGAUUUUGGAUAGAAAAAGAAGCAGGGUAGCAGGAAGAAGAAGAAGAAAUAGAGGAAGAAAUCAUAAUAAAAGAGAAAAGACAAGUGUUUUCAUUUGGGUAACGACUUCUCAGAAAAACGACAGUUGUUUUGUAACAAAAUGUGACAUUUUACACAAAAGACAAAACAUCCUUAAACGUUGUCAUUUAAGCCUACCUGACCUCCCCUCCCUUUAAGCGCACCGUUUCAUUAAAGUAUCAUACUGAACGUUGCGUUUUACAGUAAUUAAAACUAAAACAAACACAAACAGAAAUUAACAGAAUUUUAAACAUGACCGUUGCCCUUAAUUCCAUUCCAUGACAUCUAUUAUUUUGAUUUUCUUUGGCUAUUGUUAAGUUAAAAAUUCUUGUUUUUACUUUUAUUUUCUUUUGUCAUUUAUUUUUAUCGGAUUGAAAUGCCAAAAAUUUAAUUCAUUUGAUUCUAAACCAUUUUCUUUUUGAAAAUUGUUUUAUGAUUUUAUGUUGUAAUGUUGUUGAAAACCCUAAAAAUUUGUUUUAUUUAAUUCUUUCAAAAAACCAACAAAUACAUUUAGAUUUGUUCUGACCUAAUUCGAAGGCCUGUUCGAAAAGUGAAGAGAUUUGAGCAAAAAUAUAGGCUCAAAAAAUUGACUUUAACAAAAAAAAUAAUGCCCGUUUUCUAAAUUAGUCGGGUCUCGGGUAAGUUCUUAUAAGCCCAACUCGAUCCGAAUUUGUAAAAAACAAAAGUGCUGCUGUUUUUUCAUUGUUUUGCUAUCAUUUCGUUAUUAUAUUGCUACUAUUUUGUUGUUAUUAUUUGGAUAUUAUAUAACUCUUAUUUAUUAUUAAUUUUUCUAUUCUUUUAGAAGUAUUUGCUUGCUAAGUUGCUUAUUUAAGUAUAUAUAUUUUAUUUUUUUCAUUUAUUGAGAAUGUUUUUAGUGUAUUUGAUGUUUUAUAUUUUUUAAAUUUAUUUUUAUAUAAAAAAUAAUAUAAAAAUUUAAUACGGGCGGGCCGAAUCAGGCUCAAAUUUUAACAUUUUUAUCCGAACCGGUCUAGGAUAAAAUUUUAGGCCCAUUUUUGAGCCAAACCUAGAAAAUGGGCCUAAUUUUUUAUUUGACCCGACUCGAACCCGGUCGGACCGACCCAUGGACAACUCUAGAUACAUUGCUUUUAAACCCAUAUUGAAAGUGUGUUGUUAUUAUUAUUAUUAUUAUUAUUAUGUGAAGAUACUUGAAAUAAACAUGAUUUGUCUGUAUGUUCUUUGAUUUUGUGAUGUUAUUAUUCUUUUGACUAUUGGUUGAAUUCUUUAUUCUUUUGACUAUUACUAUUCGAAUGUUGUCAUGUUUUUUGCUUUUUUAUCUCAUUAAUACAAAAAAAAAUUUAAUAACUUAAAUGGUAUGCCCACUAAAUUAUUUAUCAAAAUGGUAUGGAGUAAACAGUAACCACAGGCGGUGCCUGACAAGGUAGUGGCACCACCAAUUUUUUAUCCACCAUCAUCAUACAAUCAUUAUGCCAUAACCGGUUUGAAAAAGAAAACUAAUAUUUUAUUGGUCCUGCCACACUAUACGAUGGCACCAGUAUGUAUAACUUAUACCGAGUAAAAUACGAGGCAUUAUAUGGGUUAGAGGAGUUUGAAAAAAAUUAUUUUUUAAUGGUUGGAAAUGGAGUGUCAAGCGACACCACUAUUUGUAAAAAAAUAGGAACCCAUUUUUAAAAAAUAUACCUUGAAACCCUAAUUUGUGGUUGCCUUCUCUCCUUCCAACACCACAAAACCUUCUUCUCAUCUUUUCUCCCUAAACUCUUGUUUCCUUUUUUUUUAUUACACAAACCGCUUGCCUUGGCUGAAGGGACCAACCUAGUUUUUAUAAUGGGUAACAACUGGUUAUAAAAUUUACCCAUGAAUGCUUAACAGAAUGAGGUAUGAAGGAUGAAAUGCUGAAAAAUUCGAGCCUGAAAAAGAAAAAAAAUGGGGGACCCCGUAUUUUUUUAGAAAUAGUGGUUCUUAUUUUUUUUUUACAAUCAGUGGUGCCAUCUGACACUCCCCCUUUAACCAUUAAAAAUUAAUUUUUUUCAAACCCCACAUAGCCCGUAUACUACCCCGUAUUUUACCCGAUAUAAGUUAUCCAUACCGGUACUGCCGUAUAGGGUGGUGGGACCAUUAAAAUAUUUUUUUCCCAAACCUAUUAUGGCCUAAUGAUGGUUUGAUGAUAGUGGAGAAAAAAUAUGUGGUGCCUGUAACACCCCUAACUUGUCUUCGUCAUCGAAUUAGAGUUACGAAGCAUUACUAUACAACCGAAACAUUUAAACAUUAUAUCAUUCAAUAAUUUAAUCACAUCAUAAACCAUUCAUACACAUGCAUAUUGUCCCUAAAUCGAGCCCUCGGGGCCCUAAAAAUAACUUAGAAACAAUUCGAGACCAAUUUGAAACAGUUUAGAAAGUUUAGGAAAAAGAUGCAAAAUUUGCAAAACAUGGGUCACACGUCAUGUGGCCAGGCCGUGUGACAUAGCUCUAGGCCGUGUAAAUUUUGAACUAGGGACACACAGCCGUAUCCUAGCUCGUGUCCUCACCCGUGUAACUUUUUGAGUAGGGUCACACGACUGUGUCAUACGACCGUAUGCUAGGCCGUGUAACUCUCUGAGUUGCCCCACACGCUAGUGUGUCAGGUCAUGUGUUAGGCCGUGUAACUCACUGACUUGAACCUUAAGAAAUUCUCAGACGACACACGGCUGAGUCACACGCCUGUGUCUCAGGACGUGUGAACCCAAAAUGUACCUAAAAUCAAACCAUUUCAAAACCAUUUCAUGCAUAACUAUAUAAGCCAUUUGUGCACACAAUCAAGGGGUUCAAACACCAUUCAAACUUGCAUAAACAUACUAUUUCAAGCAUCCUAAUUUACCUAAACAAUAUGCCAUUCAAAGGCACCAUAAACAUACCAAAACAUUAUAUGCCAACACAAGUCAACAUUACCUUAUUUCAAACAUCAUAAUCUAACUCAAUUACUUACCAAAACAUACCUUAAAUUGACCAUUCUCAACUAUUACAAGCCUACCAAAAGACCAUACUUUUCAAUAACUAAAAGUGGUUAUUUAACAAGCAUUACAAGUCCAUCAUGUAACAUAAACUUUAAAAACACAAGUACACUAAAUCAACCAUUAAUACAUCCAUAAGUCAUCAAUACAAUAGACCUAUACAUGAUAAUAUUGUCAUUUCCAUACAUGAUAACCUAGCUCAUAUAUGAACUACAAGAUGUCUCAAGUAAUCAUUUCCAAGUCAUCAUCAACAUGCCAAGAUAACCUUAAAAACAAACACUUUAAAGUAACCAAAAUCACAUAACUUGGUAAGCAAUAAAAAAUGCAUCAAACCAACCUAGCUUUCCAAAGCUUAUACAUGCCAAAACACUAUUAACACAUACACCAUAAUACCAUUACAAUUCAUCCUAUACAAGCAAUUAUAAACCUUGACCAAAAUACUCAAAAACUACCAAAUUGCUUGUUGGAUAGUGUGAUAGGUCUCCUACAAGUUUCCAACCAAAUUGAGCUUUCGAUAAUCUAUAAAAUAAUGUAAGGAAAAAAUGUAAGCAAUGAAUGUUUAGUAAGCUCGUAUAAACUUAAAAUGUAACUUACCAUUUCAAUAAUAAAGUUUAUAUAAUAAGUAUAAACCUUACCAAUCCAUAAGCUUAAUAAAAGCCUAUAUAACACCAUCAAACUCACAAGUUAGUAUACUUGUUCAUGAUAUAUAUGAAAUCAACUAUGUAUAAACAUAACAUUUAAUUUAUCAUCGUUACUAUACGAUCAUGAUUCAUUCCAUUUGCUUAUUUACUAAUUCCAAUAUUACAAUUCAAAGUUAAACAUAAACCAUUAGCAAUACCAAGAGUAUAGUAUAAGCCUGUUCAAGCAUCAUCGAACUCAUAUGUUAAUAGGCUCAUCAACAACACAUAUAAACUCAUUUACAUCAUAAGUAGAAUUUCAUAAGGUACAUUACAUAAGCAUCAACCCUUUCAUAUAGUUAUGAACCUUUCCAUUAAGUCACUUACCGUUCCAUUCCUUUUCUUACCCGUUGAACCAUUUAGAAUUACAUCAGAUACUCGGGAAAGCUCACACGAAGUGUGCUUUUACAAAUAAUCAUAACAUUUCCUUUACAUUAGUGCUCACAAGAUUUGUAAAAUGGGUCUGCUCACACAAGUUGUGGGUCGGAAUGUAAGUUACACAAUGCUGCUCACACAAGCUGUGGAGAAUCCGCAAAAAAUGUAGCACCUCAUCCAUCGGUAAGACAUUCAAGACCAGCACCCAAAACAUGAAAUCCCUAAUGACAUGUCAUUUGUAUCCUAAGAAUUCCUAAGGUUCAACUAGGACUCGAUAUCUGUCAAUUCAUCAUAGCUUUGAUACAUUUAUAUUAUAAUUCAUUUACAUCAAGCAACAUAAUAAACAUUCAAUUUAAACAAUAUUUAAGUGAUUACAGUUCAUACGAACUUACCAGACUAAAUUGCAGUAACGACUAAGUACAGGGGCUAUUUGGUAAUUUUUUUCUCCUUGAUUUUCUAUUCGUAUAAAGUAGAGAUCUACUUCUAAUCACUAUUAGAAUAUAAAAUACAUCAAAACUUAUAUUGAUAUUGAUGGACAUCCACUUAAUAAGAUAUUCAUAACAACAACAAUAUAAAAUGACUAAAAAAUAACAAAGUUGUUUUGACUUAUACACUACAAUAGCCGAGACAAAUUUUUAACACUCCUCCUUGCUUCAGUUGAUACAAAUCAUGAGUUUUUCUUUGAAAAAUUCAAAUUUGCUUCUUGGCAAAGUUUUAGUACAAAUAUCUACCAAUUAAAAGAUUAAUAUUGUAGUACUUUUAUCCAGCUGAUCAUUCGUUUUGCGAAUUUUUGAGAAAGAAUAAUUUGAUAUUGAAAUGUUUGGUCUUCCCAUGAAAAUGGGAUUAAUUGAGAUAUCAAUAGCUACUUGGUUAUCUACAAACACCUCUGUGCAUUCUUUAUAAGAGGGCAACAUCCAUACAAAUCCCAAUAUGAUUCAAAGUUGUUUUGAAGGAGAAGACUCGAUGGCUUUAGACCGGAUCCUAGUGUUUUGGACAACAAGCAAUAUGAUUUUUUUAAGCUUUGGAAGAUGCUUUCAUGAUAUUUAAGAACACGAAAACAACAAGUAAUGUGAAUGAUAAUCAAGAUGAAGAUUUGAUUGUAGUGGUAAAUUUGAGGUUUUAUAUAUGUUGAUGGCGUGGUUUAAAUCUUAUCAUUUGCAAUUUUUAUUGAUUUUAUUUACAAAGUAAAAAAGACUAAAAUAUCUUCAUAAUAAUAUAUCUUAUUCUAAAUAUGGAGGUAGCUUGUAAUUUUUUCAAUCAAAUUGGUGUCUAAUUGACUUGUAACACCAACUUAAUUAAAAAUUUAAAUAAUAGUAUGAUGAGUGAAUCAUUCAUUAAGUUUAAGUACUGUAUUUAAGACAAUAACAACAUCCACUACGAUGUAAUUUAUUCAUUAUUGAAUAUCAUUAAUUUAAAUAUAUUUUUAAUAAAAUUAAUACAUACUAUUUGAUACAUAAAUUUAGCUUUAAUAUUAAAUUUGGUAUUUAAAUUUUUAUACAUUAUUAUAAAAAUUAAAAUAAAAUUACUUUAUAUUAUUUAAUUGCAGCCGAAUUGACCCAAUGAACUAAUCCGAAUCUAAAAAGCUAGUGGUAGAAUAAUUUAGUGGGACGGCUCUAGAGUUCUUGCCAUUUUAAGUAUGUCUAGAGCAAAUAGUAAUUUUAUAUUUUUUUUCAUUCUUCCAAUCAUUUCUUAUUUUUUAAAAUUCUAUCUAAUUUUUUGUUUAAUUAAUCAUAAGGUGAUAUUGUUUAAAAUUGUUUGUUAUACUGAAGUUUAAAGUGACAGUAACAUAGAGAUAAAAUGAAAAAUGACACAACAUGUGGGGUGGCAUGUAUGUAUUUAUGCAUUAAUAGACUCUCAUUGAUGUCAAGGUUCUCGGGUAAUGACGGUUGAGACUAAAUGUGAUGCAUUUGAGAGUUUUGAUAAACAAUGUUGGGAUGCUUUUGAUUUAUGAACAAAGUUGAACUUAAUUAAGCAUGUCGUCGACAAUAUCAACAUCAUUGUUUAUUAUGAUUUUAAUCUUAUAAAUUUAAUUUUUUUUAUAUCCCAAAUUUUCUGAUAACUUAAUAUAGUUUUAUGAGUUUAUUAAAAAAAUCAUGUUAUAAUACUUAGUAAAUUUGAGCCUAAAUUUUACCGCUAAAUAACUGGAGCGAGCUUUUCUUAUAACAAUUUUAUAAAAAAAUUACUUAUUCUAAUUUUUAAAAUAAGUAAUAAUAAUUGGUAACAUAUUAGCUAGAAUUUUUUAAAAGAUUUUAUACAUAACAUUAUUUUUAUAAUUUUUAAAAUUUUAAAUAUUUAUGCAAUGAUAAAAAUUAAUACUAUAUGAUAUAUAAUAUUUUUAUGGUAUUAAAAUAUAAUAUUUAAAUAACAUAUAUAUAAAGUAUUUUAUAAUAUUUUUAGAAAAUAUUAUUUUAUAAUAUUAUUAUAUUUAAUAGAAUAAAAACUAGUUUUAUUUAAGAAUACAAACAAUUAAUCCAAUCUGAUGCUAGUAAACCCCACUGUAUCGCUAAUCAUCUAAUCCACGUGUCAAAAACUCAUUCAUCUAAGCAUCAAACAGCGACGUCAGCAUCCACCCGAUUUCCUCUCUUUCCUUCACACCAGACGCCUUCUCUCUAUAUCGCAGCUAAUGGCGUCAACGGAUCAAAUAAACACUUGACCAAACAAUCAAUCAAUAAUUAGAGAAGAAAAGACAAGAGCGGCCGUUUUACUUCAAUUCUUCUGCCGGCGACUUUGAGUGACGAUUUCUAGGCGGCUAUUGGUUUUAUCUUCCAAGUGCGGUUUAAGGCUUCAGUGCAUGCGGAGAAUGGGAGGGAGUCGAGGUCUUUCGGCGAAUCCUAGCGACUACAAGCUUCUAGAAGAGAUUGGUUAUGGCGCCAGUGCUACUGUUUAUAGAGCGAUCUAUCUUCCUUUUAACGACGUUGUAGCUAUCAAGUGUUUGGAUCUCGAUCGUUGCAACAGUAAUCUGGUUCGGCUUUUUCCUCCUUAAUUGAUUUUCAGUUUUCGAUUUUUUUUUCUUUAUCUUUUACUGUUUCUAGUCAAAUAAAUGACUGUAACUUAAUUUGAUUUUAGUUAGUUAUGAUUAUAGAUGUUGUCUUACUAAAAUUGGAAAUGAUUGUGGGUUUCUCUGAUUGAAUUUCGUUUCUUUGAAUUCGGAGUAUAUUAGGUCUUGAAUUAUGAUUAAAUUGAAGUUCUUUCUCUUGCUAUUUGUUCCUUUUCGAAAAUUUCUAAAUUGAAAGUUGUUCCUUCCAUUGCUUAUGAGGAAGCUAGAAAAACCAACUUAAUUUGUUAUUCGAAUCAUACAAUUUAAAUAUGACCUUCCUUUUGUAGAAUCCGUUCUAUUUAUUUAGCUGAGGCAUUUCAAUGCUGAAUUGACAUUUGCUACUGCGCGUAAUAGUGUGUCCACAUUCCAUCAUCACUUAAAUCUAGGUAUCUUCCAUCGGGGAACACUUCACAACGCUGCCACCACUGAAUAUUUGGGAUUUUUCUUUUUCGUUUUUUUAUGAAAGUUUCUGUGAGUUUGUAAUAUGCACAUAGAGGAAUUGAAUUAUUGUGGAGUUGAUAUGUCAAGGCGAUGAUUAUGUUCUCACAGAAUUUUUGCUACACAAUUUGAGAAAAAACUGAGAGAUUAGAGUUUAAAUUUGUCACUUGUUUGUGGUGGGAUUAAAAUCCUGUUCUGCUAAACUGUUUUCUAAACAAAGGAGACAGCUCUACUCUCUUUACGUUUCUUCUCCUUUCCUUAGUUUCCUCUUAAUCCAAACAAAGCCUUAGUUCUGAUUCAUGCAUAUUCAACUUCUGGAAUGUUUGUUGUUUUGUAUAUAGGUCAUCAAUCACUCUACUGAAAAGGUUAUAAAUUUGAUAAUAAUAUAAUCACUCAAUAUGUCUGCAUGCCACAAUUUACUUUGGCUAUUUGAAUUUUAUUUAUCAUGAGAGAUACAGUUUAGGUCUGUAUUCCUACUCUUCAUGUUAGUGGAUGCAUCCUCUGUUUAUGAUAUACUGACUCUUGAUGGCUAAUGCUCUUUUGUAGGAUGACAUACGUAGGGAAGCUCAAACAAUGAGUUUGAUUGAUCACCCAAAUGUUAUACGGGCAUAUUGUUCAUUUGUAGUUGACCGUAACCUGUGGGUAGUCAUGCCAUUCAUGUCGGAGGGUUCUUGUUUGCACCUCAUGAAGAUAGCUUACCCUGAUGGACUUGAAGAGCCUGCCAUUGGUUCUAUUCUGAAAGAAGCGCUUAAAGCUUUAGAUUAUCUUCAUCGGCAAGGACAUAUUCAUCGAGAUGUUAAGGUCAUUGCAUGAUUGACAUUAUUUUAUCCAAAUGAUUUUAUCAUUCCUGUGCUUUGAUUUUUUAUUUUUUGUUUUUUGUUUUUGACAUUAUAGGCUGGGAACAUACUGCUUGAUAACAAUGGCACAGUAAAGCUUGCUGACUUUGGUGUUUCAGCUUGCAUGUUUGAUGCAGGAGAUAGACAACGUUCUAGAAAUACCUUUGUUGGGACUCCUUGCUGGUGAGCUAUCUUUGUCAAACUGGUCAAAGGAUUGGCUGUAUCCUCUGCUCAUCUCCAGUCAGAUGCUUUUGACAGAGUUCAAUUUUUUUCUUUUCUUUUUUAAUUAUUUGAUAUCCCGAUAUAUCCUUUCUUUGCAGGAUGGCACCAGAGGUCUUGCAGCCAGGAAGUGGAUAUAAUUCCAAGUGAGUUUUAAUAUGUGUUUAUGAUUUUAAAAAUGAUUUUAGGUCUUAGAAUUUUGCCCAAAUACAUUAGGGGACAUAGGUAUUUUCCUCUUCUUGGUAGCAAGGUUUGGUUGUGAUUUUAACCUAAAAGUUGUCCUGAUUUGAUCCGGGCAAGUUAUUUGUUCCAAAACCUCAAAUUUCAUUUUAUCAAUUCAUCAUAGCUUUCUGUUGAAGUACCUAUGUACCUCAAAGCCAUCAGCUUUUCAUAUUCAUUGCAAUGCAUAUUAAAAUAUUAAAAUGGUAUUAUGGCAAUCUGGUUGCAUUUCGUAUAGCUAUUAGGUUUGGAUUGCAUUUAAUAUGACUUUGGUGCUUAUAGAGUCGAUGUAACUUGGUAUAUUUAGAGAAAUGAUCCAUUUUGUUUUCCACCGUAAUUUUGUAAUUUUAUUAAUUGGUUGCAUUAUUGCACAGGGCUGAUAUAUGGUCAUUUGGGAUAACAGCAUUGGAGUUGGCUCAUGGUCAUGCACCUUUUUCAAAAUAUCCACCAAUGAAGGUAUCUAAUCCCAUUUGAAAAAAUAUUAAAUGGUGAGCAAUGAGGGUUUGAUAUAUGAGUUCUUAGUCAACAUUUUAUGUCUUAAAACUUUGCCUUCUAACAAUAAACAGGUUCUCUUGAUGACCAUACAAAAUGCUCCCCCGGGACUUGAUUAUGAUCGUGAUAAGAAGUUCUCUAAGGUACUGCUAUUCUUUCUGGAUACAGUGACAUGCAUUUUAUUUGUCAAUACGUGCACAUAAUGUUGAUUGAGGUGUUUAAUUGUGUUUUGCAAUUGCUUAUUUGUCAUAGCAAAUUUCUAAUUAAAGGACUUCCAGUUGUAAUCAGUCUUUUAAAGAAAUGGUUGCCAUGUGCCUGGUGAAAGAUCAAACAAAGAGGCCUACUGCAGAGAAAUUAUUAAAGCACUCCUUUUUCAAGCAUGCAAAGCCUCCUGAGCUUUCCUUGAAGAAAUUAUUUUCUGAUCUGCCACCACUUUGGAAUCGUGUGAAAGCUCUUCAGGUUGCUGAUCUCACUGCCACAGCUCACAAUGCAGGUGUUUUGUACAUUUUUCCACAAUGUUUGUUGAAUGUAAUCCUUCUUCUUUUCUGCAGCUUAAAGAUGCUGCACAACUAGCUCUAAAGAAAAUGCCUUCAGCAGAACAAGAAGCUUUAUCACAGGUUAGGAGUCAUCAAUCAGAAGUUAUCUUUAUCUUAAAUUGUAUUUGCCUUUGCUUCAAAUAACAUAUCUGUGAAAGUUUUAGCUGUUGAGUUGGGUGCAGUUGUAUUUUCUUACUGCUGGGGGUGUUAUCUUGUCUUUGUUUGUCAGAGUGAGUAUCAAAGAGGAGUAAGUGCCUGGAAUUUUGAUCUUGACGAUUUGAAAGCGCAAGCAUCUUUGGUAGGACAUAUUUUUAGCUUUACCUUUAAUAAUAAAUAUUUUAAUAUAGAGACAUAGUAUGCAAUUUAAUUUCUUUGCUGGUUAUAUCAAUUAGUGUAUACUAAUUUUUUUCACUUUAACAUUCUAAGGUCUGUGAUGAUGAUGACAUUCAUGAGUGCAAAGAUGAUGAUGAAAGCAUGAAAUCACGCCUUGGUCAUAAGGUCAGCAGUUGUAUUAUUUUUUUGCCUCAGAAAUCUGUGAUACAUCUUUGGACUAGGUUGAAAUACUACCUUCUGUACUUAUGUAACUUGAAAUUGUAUUUUUGCCAAAUUUUUCCUUUAUAACAAACUACAUAAUUGGUUCUUGUUAUUGGCUGACAUGACAGGCUACAGCUUACUGUGAACCUAGUUUGGGAAAGUUGAGUUUAAAUAGGGAAGUAUCUCAGGCUGAAUGUAGAGGUCCAGGGAGUAUCGAGUUAUUACAAAUUGAUUGCUUGAAUGGAAAGGGAAAGAAUCUGGAAUGCGAUAUAGUUGAAGCUGGUUGCCAGGAGAUUCUCGGUUUGAAGAAAAAUGGAUCAAUCAUUGAUGUUAUGGGAUCAACUUCAGAAAAGGAUGUGGUCUUAACCAGGGCUAAUACAGUGAAACCUAGGGAAACCCAAACCGGGCCACUCACACCUGGUGUUGUUCUUAGUCGUUCAUCUGAAAGGUGAGCUGUAUUUCAUGCUUAGGUUUGCUUGGGUGUUUCAUAUGACUUCUCUCUAUGGGCUUUUAAACUGAUAUGAACCUGUUUUUAUUCACGUGAUCUUUUUUUUUUUUGGCAUAAGCAUGAACACAUUUGAUUCUAAUUUUAGUCUAAAUUGAAGCUUAUAACAUGGGAACAGGACUCAAUCUGCUAUAUGACGGCUGUAAGCCAUGAUUAGCAUUUUAACUUCAAACAUGAAUGUAGGUCUUUCUUUUUGGACUGUUCUAUUGCCUGUGGUUGUGAGAAUAGAUGCAUUCUAUAAAUUGGGCUAGUUAAUUCACUCACAUGUUUUUACUCUGCUGCUGAAUUAUGUUUUAUUAAACAUGGUUUAAAAGUUGAGCUAGUAAAAAUAUACCGCUGUUUUGGGUUAUUUUUUAGCUCUCUCCACCCCCCCCCCAAAAAAAAAGAGAAAAAAAAAAAAAAAAACCAAAACAGAAGGGAAACUCAAGUCUUGAUUCCAAUGUUCUUUGGGUUGAUUCAACCAAACAUUGAUAAUGAUGGAUCGUUUUAAAGUUACUUAUAUAUUAUAGUUUCCUGUGUUAUUUGUUAUUGCUUUGGCCUUGUUAUGGUUUAGAAAUUGAAGGAUAGGAAAGUGAUUUAGCUCAUUUGGUUUCAUAUGUGAUUAAUAUCUUGUCUAUUUUAGCCUAAGAAAAUAAAGUGGAAGAGAAAAUUGUAGAUAUUAAGCCUAUGGUCUGCUGAUGAUUAGGUUUGAGAAUGAAAGUUUACUUGCAAAUGAGAGAGUUCGUCAAGUUCGUAAAGCACCAAGCUUUAGUGGUCCAUUGAUGCUUCCUAAUCGAGCAUCUGGGAACAGCUUAUCAGCUCCAAUUAAACCAUCAGGAGGUAACAAAUUCAUAGCAUUUAGGAUCAUUAUUGUUUUUUUAUCACCUGGGUCACCACCAGUGCUACUAUUAUAGCUGCUAGGAUAUAUAUAUUAUAGCAAAUUUUCUCCUACAACAGGGUUUAGGGAUUGUCUGGAUGAGAAGUCAAAGGCUAGUCUGGUGCAAAUUAAAGGUCGAUUUUCAGUAACAUCAGAAAAUUUAGAUCUUGUAAAGGUAAGACUCAAUUUUAAUACUAUAUUUGUUCUCCCAUGCAACUUCACUAACCAAAUAUUAAUUUCUAGGAUAUUCCUUUAGGUACAGUUUCACGCCGAUCUUUGCAGGUGGGCUAUUGGUCUUUGGCUCUUUGCUUAAAUAUUAUUAUAUUAACAAUAUUAAUUGUCCACUUCUUAUUGGUUGCUCUGUUUCUUCUUGAGUUUCAGACUUCACCUAUCAGAAAGUCUGCUAGCGUAGGGGAUUGGAUACUUGAAUCAAAACAAGUGGUUUGUGAUCUAUAUCUUUCCUUCAACGUGGUUGAUUAUGAAUUUUUGUACUGUUUCAUUUAUUGCAACAUUUUGCAUCUUGAAGCUUAAGGAUCUCUUAUUAACAGAGGAACUGGUAUUAAGGUGUGUGCCCAGGUAAUAAGGUGAGGCAGAAAUCAAGGAAAGUUCCUCUCUUCCUUCUGGUGGGAGACACCUUUAUUGAGGCACAUGCCAUUGAAAAGGCACUGAAAGACUUUCCUCACUCAAACCAACUUUUUUCUGUUUGUUUAUAAUACAACGGGCUGAUAGUAGCAAAAAGAAUUAACUUGUUAUUUUGCUUCAAUAAAGGAAAGGUGCUAACAUCCAUGUAUUAACAACUUGAUAACCACACUUCAUAGAAAUCAAGUCUAUAUUCAUCUCAUCUUUUAUGUAGCCCUAUUUACCUGCUAAUGGAAGCUUUCCAGUAUGUUGCUGCACUAAAUAAAUAAGUUGUUUUCUUAUGGACCAUUUCUUUUCAGGCUAUCAAUCAUGCCCCUAAGGAUUUGACCAAUGGUAGUGUGUCCACAUCGAUUCUUACAACUCACCUUCAAAAUCUUUUCCAGCGAACCUCACUGCAACAGGUAAAGACUUUGAGUUGAGACAGUAUCUUAUUUUGUUUAUAGAGUGCCUGCCUUAAAGAUGAAUGAUGUUCUCACUGGAAAUUUCUUCGGCAUGCUAGGAUCUUAUCGUGAAUUUGUUGAAUAGCUUGCAGCCAGCUGAGGUUGUAGAUGGUCAGUGAAAGCUGAUCUUCCUAUUACUUUGGCAUGAUUAAACUAGGAAAUACAGUGUUUAGCAGUGUAGUAAUCAUUUUUCUAUUUUGUUUUCCAGCCUCACAAAAUGGAAAGUUGCCUGUUCUACCUCGUUCCGAGAGCAAUGGGAAUGUGAGAGCCUUGUCAUUGUUUAGUGUUAAGUAAUUUCAAGUGGUUUCUUCUUUUGUCCCUCUCUGAUCUUCGUGUUGUUUGAAUAGGUUGAACUUGAAACAGCAGCUUCUGAGAGGGAGCGUCUACUGCUCGGCAAGAUCUUAGAGCUACAAUCUAGGUCGGUUGUCAUGAAUUCUAUACCAAGUAAUUUUGUACCUUGGUUUCCCACUACACAUCCAACUUUCUCCUGAUAGUCUCUUUGUUGAACACUUAUUGUGGCAGAAUGAUGAAUUUGAGGGAUGAAUUGAAUGCUGAAAAGUGGAGAUAUGAAGAGGUGAGUUUCUUACAGAGUUUUUAUAUAAAUGAGAAUAGCAGCUUCUACUUUAUUCUACGAUUGCGGUGUCACUGAUUAGAAAAAAAGAAAAAAGAAGCACAUGAUAUAUGGAGUAAUGAUGGGUUAGUAGGGGGUGAUGAUUUGAACAAUGAAAAUGCAGUUGCAACAAGAACUAAGGCUCAUGGCUGGUGCGGAAGAGAAUGGGGAUGAUGCUGCGUGAAAAAGAAUGGGGGCGUCGUUAACAACGUUAGAAACAGAAUACGGCAGGGAGCUCUUUUAAUUACUGAAUAAGCAAAUGUUAUGCGUACAUGACGAGGAUGUUUUCUUCCAUAUUUCCAUGUAAAUAUAAUUUAUAUCCCAGAGUGCAGUGCAGAGGCAAAGCCCAUUUAUUAUUUAUUUAUUAUGGAACGUAACCUAUAAGCUUUGGCUUUCUGUAAAGAACAUCUUCUGUAUAUUAUUAUUGAAAAUUGUAUAUACAUACAUAUACGAAAGUUAUUGAAAUUUGCAAACAAACCAUUUAAGAUCUUAUUAUUUCAACUCCUUUGAACUUGUAUUUAUAUUACCUUGAAUUGUUUUAUCCUUAUAAAAUCGGACUAUUUUAGUAUUAAAAACAAUCUUCGUUUUCUUCCAUGCUUUCCUCUCGCAUAUAUCCCAAGCUCUUUCACCUGUCACUACCUUUCAAAGUCCCUCCAUUAAAAGGUUACAUAAUUUAUGCUUCUUGGGAUAACGUUUUAUGUUUGUCCCAAAAGUAUUUAGUUUCUGCUUAAUUUUUUUUAUAUCUAGUUAGUAUUUGACUUUGUAUUCUUUCAUUCAAGUUGAUAUCUUUGCAUCAUGGUCUGCUUACGCAACACUGAUAACCAAUUUAAAGAUGACAUGUGGCAACUUUUUAACAUGCCAAGUGGUAAACAUAAUUAAAAAAAUAAAAAAAACUUUAAAAAUAUGUACAUUAAUAAAAAAAUAUAAUUUCUUUUGACAUCAAGACCUAAACAAAAGUUUUUGAAUGGACACCUAUCUUAUCUAGAUUCAUUCUAGAUACGUUUUUUUAAUGAGUUUAUAUUUUUAAAUUUUUUUAUAAAAAAUUAAUUUUUUAAGGUUAUUAUUAUUUUGAAAUAUAUAUAAAGUUUAAAUUUAUAAAAAAAUGUAAAACAUAUAUAAUUAAAAAUGUAAAAAAAAAACCUAUAAUAUUUUGAAAAAUAUAUAAAUUUAUAAAAAAUUAUUAAAAUUAUUAAAAAGCACGUCCAGAAGGACUGGACAAUGCUCCAUCUAGUUUGAUUCUUGAUAUCAAUUGUUUUAUUAAUUUAUAUAUUUUAAAAUUUUAUAUAUUUUUAAUUUCAAAAUAAUAAUAUAAAUAGCAUGAUAUUUAUUAAAAAAUUAAAUAUAUAAACCUACUAAAAAAACAUUUGGAAUGAAUUUGGAUUUGUAUUUGGACAAUCAUUGUCCAAAUUCAUUGUUAAUGUUAAAAAAAUUAUACUUUUUUAUUAAUUUAUAUAUUUUUACAUUUUUAUUUAUACUUAGCACAUGACAUGUUAAAAAGCUACUACGUGUCACCUCUGAAUUGACUAUCAGUACACGUUAGUGUAAUAGCCCAAUUUGCCCGCCCAUUCAGAAUAAGCAGAAAAAAAACAAGAAAAAAUAAUUAAAUAUCCACAGUCCAAAUACAUAGGCCCAACAUGGCCCAACAUGGCCCAAAUCGUUUUUAACCUAAACACUAGCCUAGCCCAAUAUCCCAACCCAAUUACAGUAGCCCGAUACUCCGGCCCAAUUACAUUGAAGCCUAAAACGAAAAUUUUCAGAAGCCCCUAGGGUUUCCAGAAUUUUCAGCACCGCAGCCCGCAGGCUCCCCUCCACAUAGCGCCGCUCUCCCCAGCCACAGCCACCUCCGUACUGCCACGUCAGUCUCCGUACGCUGUACCUGCAAGAGGGACAAGCAAACAAAAAGAAGAAGCAGAAAUCGACAGUAAAAAAAAGGGAAAAUAAGAAAAGAGAGCAAAAUACAUUUUCUUUUGUAAUUUUCAUUUUAUUUUCGGCUAUAUAAAGCCAUUCUUUAGCGUUUGUAAGGUUACAGACACACAUAUUGAAAUACAAAAAGAAAAGAAAUCAAAGAUCGGUUUUUUAUAAGGUGAAUCUCAAAGUUGUUUUCGUUGGCUUUUGAUUUUUAUUUUCUCCGAUCUGUUCUUCAUUGUUGUAUACAUAUGUGAAAUAAUAAAAAAGAAAAGAGAGAACCCGUGCCUGGUUAAGCCCGCAGCCGAAUCCCUCGUUGGUUCCGAUCGGAACCGGAUGGUUGGGGGCUCCGAUGUCGAAGCGGCGCGGCUGAACGAGGGGAGGCUAGGGUUUUCAUUUCUUUAGUUUGUUUUCUUAUCACGUUUAAAAUGGCUAAACAUAGGUUUUAUUUCUGAUUUUUUUAGUUUUAGGAAAACCAUGAAACGACACCGUUUGAGGUUUAUUUCAAUAGCUCCAAAACGGUGUCGUAUUGGCCAGGCUCAAUGACCUGAUCCAGACCAGGCCAGAUCCGCGUGUUUUGGUCUUGGAUGGGAUAUUUGCGCCAUUAAUCCCUCUACUUCAGUUGAUAUUUUUAAUUCUGUUUUCUUUAUUUUCUAAAUUGGCCCAAUUGUUUUGAAUUCUGUUCAUUUCGAUCCAUGUUGAAAUGCCGCGUUUUGGAGGGACGGGAUUAUUUCCCAUUUGGUCCCCCAAGUUCUCCGCGUACUACAUUUGGC